This 305-nucleotide ribosomal RNA is filed under the name uncultured bacterium. RNAcentral's name for it is "bacterial SSU rRNA". It matches the Rfam family "Bacterial small subunit ribosomal RNA", at positions 334 to 637 of the family's 1533-position model. The record is from RNAcentral.
UCGGCCUACGGGGCGCAGCAGUGAGGAAUAUUGGUCAAUGGCCGGGAGGCUGAACCAGCCAAGUCGCGUGAGGGAAGACGGCCCUACGGGUUGUAAACCUCUUUUGUCAGGGAGCAAGGGGCGGGUCGAGACCUGCUGUGAGAGUACCUGAAGAAAAAGCAUCGGCUAACUCCGUGCCAGCAGCCGCGGUAAUACGGAGGAUGCGAGCGUUAUCCGGAUUUAUUGGGUUUAAAGGGUGCGCAGGCGGAGGCACAAGGCAGCGGUAAAAUCGCGGGGCUCAACCCCGCUCCGCCGUUUAAACUGUG